GGAACCCCUUCCCCAAAUGCUUUUCCGCACAGACUGGACUCCGUCGGGCCUGCGGAGCCCGAGGAGGCGCGCGUGGCCACGUGGUGAGCGCCCCCUGCCGCCACCCGCCUGCCGAGCUCGUCCGCGGCCCCCAGAGACCCGCCGCCUGCCGCUUCCCGGGGCCACUGAGAAGGCUCCCAAGCCCGGGGCGGGGGGCAAGCGAGUACUCAGAGCCUGCGAUUGACGACUUCAGCUUUCCCGUUUCUCCUGCAGCUGCCUCAGUUUCCUCCAUUAAGGGCAAAGAGGCUACGCACCCCCCUUGGAGUAGCCCUGGAAAAAGCAGUUGGGGUGAGAAGAAAUUCCCGACUAAGCACACACGGCACCCUAACCUCACUCUGGCCUAAAAGAGCUGCGCAGGACCGGCGGUCGUCACACACCCUCCCCCUCCCCACGCUCCCUGUGGCCACUGCCACCAGCGCCAGCCUGGGCAGCCUCAAGGGCGCUUUUUUCACCGUUUCCGGAGCCCCUAAUGCUGUAACCCCAGCCUAGACGAGGCCUAUAUAUUGCUAGCCCACAGCUGUGCAUGGCAUCCUCUGUAUAAAGCAUCAAUCCACUUCUGAAAGCUCAGACAGGUGGUACCCAC
Molecule: long non-coding RNA, 622 nt
Organism: Lagenorhynchus albirostris (white-beaked dolphin)
Lineage: Eukaryota; Metazoa; Chordata; Mammalia; Artiodactyla; Delphinidae
Exons: 3
Source: RefSeq, a predicted model, not a curated record